This 401-nucleotide ribosomal RNA is filed under the name Hanseniaspora uvarum. Its description in RNAcentral is "partial small subunit ribosomal RNA". It matches the Rfam family "Bacterial small subunit ribosomal RNA", at positions 535 to 940 of the family's 1533-position model. The record is from RNAcentral. Lineage: Eukaryota; Fungi; Ascomycota; Saccharomycetes; Saccharomycodales; Saccharomycodaceae.
CUAACGUUAAUCAUUAAGGCUUAAAGGAUCCGUAGAACGAUAUAUAAUUUCCUAAUAAACUGAGAUUUUAACUUAAAGUUAAAAAGUGAGGAGGAAAUAAAUAAAAAUAUAUUAGAGUUUUAAGUAUGAUUAAAGAAUAAUUAUAGUAAAGAUGAAAUAAUUAUGAUAAUAAUUAGACUGUUAAAGGUGAAAACAUUAAUCAAAAAUAAAACUGACGUUGAGGGAUGAAGGCAUAAGUAGCAAAACGGAUUCGAUACCCGAUUAGUUUAUGCAGUAAACGAUGAAUACUUCUAUAAAUAAAAUUUGUAGUAAGUGAAAACGUAAGUAUUCCGCCUGGUGAGUAUAUUCGCAAGGAUGAAAUCCAAGACAAUAGACGGUUACAGAUAAAGGCAGUGGAUUGU